RNAcentral lists this ribosomal RNA (261 nucleotides) under uncultured bacterium. RNAcentral's name for it is "partial 16S ribosomal RNA". It matches the Rfam family "Bacterial small subunit ribosomal RNA", at positions 524 to 784 of the family's 1533-position model. The record is from RNAcentral.
UACGUAGGGGGCAAGCGUUGUCCGGAUUUAUUGGGCGUAAAGAGCGUGUAGGCGGCCAGGUAGGUCAGCUGUGAAAACUCGAGGCUCAACCUCGAGACGCCGGUUGAAACCAUCUGGCUAGAGUCCGGAAGAGGAGAGUGGAAUUCCUGGUGUAGCGGUGAAAUGCGCAGAUAUCAGGAAGAACACCCGUGGCGAAGGCGGCUCUCUGGAACGCAACUGACGCUGAGACGCGAAAGCGUGGGGAGCAAACAGGAUUAGAAC